GACGAACGCUGGCGGCGUGCUUAACACAUGCAAGUCGAACGGAAAGGCCCUGCUUUUGUGGGGUGCUCGAGUGGCGAACGGGUGAGUAACACGUGAGUAACCUGCCCUUGACUUUGGGAUAACUUCAGGAAACUGGGGCUAAUACCGGAUAGGAGCUCCUGCUGCAUGGUGGGGGUUGGAAAGUUUCGGCGGUUGGGGAUGGACUCGAGGCUUAUCAGCUUGUUGGUGGGGUAGUGGCUUACCAAGGCUUUGACGGGUAGCCGGCCUGAGAGGGUGACCGGCGACAUUGGGACUGAGAUACGGCCCAGACGCCUACGGGAGGCAGCAGUGGGGAAUAUUGCACAAUGGGGGGAAGCCUGAGGCAGAAACGCCGCGUGCGGGAUGACGGCCUUCGGGUUGUAAACCGCUUUCGACUGUGACGAAGCGUGAGUGACGGUAAUGGGUAAAGAAGCACCGGCUAACUACGUG
Molecule: ribosomal RNA, 468 nt
Filed under: uncultured bacterium
Lineage: Bacteria
Description: partial 16S ribosomal RNA
Rfam family: Bacterial small subunit ribosomal RNA
Source: RNAcentral